UGCAGUCGACGAUGAACCUCCUUCGGGAGGGGAUUAGUGGCGAACGGGUGAGUAACACGUGGGCAAUCUGCCCUGCACUCUGGGACAAGCCCUGGAAACGGGGUCUAAUACCGGAUAUGACUCGGGAGGGCAUCCUUCCGGGUGGAAAGCUCCGGCGGUGCAGGAUGAGCCCGCGGCCUAUCAGCUUGUUGGUGGGGUGAUGGCCUACCAAGGCGACGACGGGUAGCCGGCCUGAGAGGGCGACCGGCCACACUGGGACUGAGACACGGCCCAGACUCCUACGGGAGGCAGCAGUGGGGAAUAUUGCACAAUGGGCGAAAGCCUGAUGCAGCGACGCCGCGUGAGGGAUGACGGCCUUCGGGUUGUAAACCUCUUUCAGCAGGGAAGAAGCGCAAGUGACGGUACCUGCAGAAGAAGCGCCGGCUAACUACGUGCCAGCAGCCGCGGUAAUACGUAGGGCGCAAGCGUUGUCCGGAAUUAUUGGGCGUAAAGAGCUCGUAGGCGGCUUGUCGCGUCGGAUGUGAAAGCUCGGGGCUUAACCCCGGGUCUGCAUUCGAUACGGGCAGGCUAGAGUGUGGUAGGGGAGAUCGGAAUUCCUGGUGUAGCGGUGAAAUGCGCAGAUAUCAGGAGGAACACCGGUGGCGAAGGCGGAUCUCUGGGCCAUUACUGACGCUGAGGAGCGAAAGCGUGGGGAGCGAACAGGAUUAGAUACCCUGGUAGUCCACGCCGUAAACGUUGGGAACUAGGUGUUGGCGACAUUCCACGUCGUCGGUGCCG
This 777-nucleotide ribosomal RNA is filed under the name Streptomyces sp. RNAcentral's name for it is "bacterial SSU rRNA". It matches the Rfam family "Bacterial small subunit ribosomal RNA", at positions 56 to 848 of the family's 1533-position model. The record is from RNAcentral. Lineage: Bacteria; Bacillati; Actinomycetota; Actinomycetes; Kitasatosporales; Streptomycetaceae.